Molecule: transfer RNA, 110 nt
Filed under: Candidatus Thorarchaeota archaeon
Lineage: Archaea; Promethearchaeati; Candidatus Thorarchaeota
Description: tRNA-Ser
Source: RNAcentral
GCCGGGGUAUCCUAGCGGUACGGAGACGGUCUCGAAAACCGUUGCCCUUUGGGCUCGUGGGUUCGAAAGAGUCCAUCCUUGGAUGGUUUCCGAUUUUCCCAUCCCCGGCG